AACGCACAUUGCGCCCGCGAGUAUUCUCGCGGGCAUGCCUGUCCGAGCGUUGUUAAGCCCACUCGAGCCCUGCUCGGCGUUGGGGCGCGCGGGUCCCGAAGCGGCCCGCGGCUCCGAAGGCUAGCGGCGGCGGCCCUGGGAGCCCUCUGCGUAGUGAAACCCUCGCACUGGGAGCCCUCGGCCCGCCAGCCCACCAACUGAGCUCUAGGCUCACCUACGGUCAACCUCGGAUCAGGUAGGGAUACCCGCUGAACUUAA
RNAcentral lists this unclassified non-coding RNA (258 nucleotides) under uncultured fungus. Its description in RNAcentral is "partial contains 5.8S ribosomal RNA, internal transcribed spacer 2, and large subunit ribosomal RNA". The record is from RNAcentral. Lineage: Eukaryota; Fungi.